GACGAACGCUGGCGGCGUGCUUAACACAUGCAAGUCGAGCGGUAAGGCCCUUUCGGGGGUACACGAGCGGCGAACGGGUGAGUAACACGUGGGUGACCUGCCCUCAGCUCUGGGAUAAGCCUGGGAAACGUGGGUCUAAUACCGGAUAUGACUCCAUGACGCAUGUUGGUGGGGUGGAAAGCCUUGUGCGGCUGAGGAGUCGGGCCCGCGG
RNAcentral lists this ribosomal RNA (211 nucleotides) under uncultured bacterium. RNAcentral describes it as "partial 16S ribosomal RNA". It matches the Rfam family "Bacterial small subunit ribosomal RNA", at positions 28 to 236 of the family's 1533-position model. The record is from RNAcentral.